UGGUGAUCAUGUCUUUAAGGUACAGUGAUCAUGUCUUUAAGGUACGGUGAUCAUGUCUUUAAGGUACGGUGAUCAUGUCUUUAAGGUACGGUGAUCAUGUCUUUAAGGUACGGUGAUCAUGUCUUUAAGGUACGGUGAUCAUGUCUUUAAGGUACGGUGAUCAUGUCUUUAAGGUACGGUGAUCAUGUCUUUAAGGUACGGUGAUCAUGUCUUUAAGGUACGGUGAUCAUGUCUUUAAGGUACGGUGAUCAUGUCUUUAAGGUACGGUGAUCAUGUCUUUAAGGUACGGUGAUCAUGUCUUUAAGGUACGGUGAUCAUGUCUUUAUCAGGUACGGUGAUCAUGUCUUUAAGGUACGGUGAU
Molecule: long non-coding RNA, 361 nt
Organism: Oncorhynchus tshawytscha (Chinook salmon)
Lineage: Eukaryota; Metazoa; Chordata; Actinopteri; Salmoniformes; Salmonidae
Source: Ensembl